UCAUUAUUUCCUCUCCUCUCCUUCCUUUCCUCUAUUACCACUAGGUUUCUUCCGUCUCCUUUCCUUUCCUCUAUCGCCGCUAGGUUUCCUCUCUCCCACCCCUUCUUUCCUUUCCUAUUUGCAGCACACCAGGUUCUUCCCUCUUUGCAGUAAGCAAGGAGUUCAAAGGUAACCUUAUAUCUUAUUUCUUCCCUCUCCGUAGCACCGUGCGUAACCUUGCCAAGGGAUGAGCGGAUGCUUUAGGUGCGGCCACACUCAAGGGGGUCACAGCCUCUCCAGACCACUAGUUCACUAGCGAUCGAUUUGUGAACGGUUGCACGCGAGGGGGUCGAUGCCUCACGAGGUAGCCCGUUCACAAACGGUUGCACACGAGGGGGUCUAAGCAGUGGCCUGUAGCGAGGCAACGACAUCGUUAUCUACUUCUGAAACUCUCAUGUUUUCCAUCUCCAUAUACUAGUAAGCUUUUCAAGAAGAUGGAAUUGCACAAGCUAGCAGAUAUGCUACUGAGGAUUCAAUUGAGUCAUGGCUUAAUGAAUUACUUUGCUUGGAUGUUGCAAGUUACAUUCCAAAUAUCACUAUGUUAGUAUUCUUGAUGAAAAGGAAAUAAUUGUUUUUUCAGGUCAUUCUCUAAAUGAUCUUUUAUUUGUCUAGACUUCCACAUCCAAGUGAAUGUGCCUUUACUAUGUCAACCGAGAUAUACUUUUCUAAUAUCACAAGGAGAGUGAGAUAUGUUUAUAGGUACUUUUAUUUGGUUAAAUUUGUGCAAUUUUUUCAUUUAUAUUACAGGGCAUGAUUUCCCUUUAUGUUGCUUCUCACUACAAAAAGUCACCUAAUGACUUACAAGUUACAAUUGAUGGCUGAUGCUCCAUCCCAUUACUUGUUUGUGUUACUUUGUAUUUUGUUUCUUAGCUGUACCAUAAUUAUUUAUAGCAGCCUAGCAUUUUAUCUAUUUGCUAAAUCUCUCUAUAAAUAUUGCAGGCCCUAUUGAUGAAUAAAAAAAAAAUACUCUUCUAGAUAUUUUGUGUUGUUCAGGUUUGUCUCUCCAUCGUGGAAUUCAAUGAUAUUUUUUCUCCUCAUAGAGAGAAGACUACACUUGAGCAUGAGCCUAGCUUUUAACAGUAAGCGAAGACUGCUAUUAGGUGACAGGUACUUGGAUUUUUGUGAAUCAAUAUAAUGGUUAAGAUGGUUGAAGAUGAUUCAUCUAGUCGAAUUUUUAUUUUAGAAGACUUUGUUAGUAUUAAAAUUUAAUUUAAUAUUUUGAAUGUAUGUGUAGGUUGUUUUAGAUGUAAAAGACAUAUCAUUAGUACUGUAUUUGUAAAUUUGACUCAAAUGAUUAUUGAAUGAAUAAACAUAUCUAUUAGCCCUUUAAAUUUUAUUUUGUAAUUUUUUCUUUAUAUUCUAAAUGGUGGAUGAAUUAUGAUGAUGUGUAAAUAUUGAAUUCAAGUUAUAUAUUCUAAAUAAAUAUUAAUGAUAAAUUUUAAUAUAUUUAUAAAUUAUUAUAAUGAUAUUUAUUAAUGUCAUUAUAAAUUAGUUAAGGUGACAUUUAUAAAUGUCCUUAAAAUAUAAUUUUUCCUGACAUUUUAGAUUGUUGUAAUAUCACUGUAUUAUGACACUUUUGAAGUUAGCAUUGAUAUUGUAUAAUGACAUUAUAAAAUGUCAGGAAUACGAGGAAGGUCUAAGACGACAUCACUUUAUAGGGUGUUUUUCAGUGAUGCCACUAAAACUUAAGUGUCACCAAAAAUAUACUAUAAGGACAUUUAUGUGUGUCAUUAUAGACCUUUUUUCUUGUAGUGACGCUAAGCAGGUGGAACUCUGUCUUUCCAUUGGCGACAAUCUCGGCUUGCUCCUUCUUGCUCCACUGAUGCUCUUCUUAGUCUUUGGGAACUUCAAAAUCAUAUUUCAUAAUUAGUAAAAUAU
Zingiber officinale is the source of this 1917-nucleotide long non-coding RNA. RefSeq lists it as uncharacterized. NCBI's taxonomy places the organism in Eukaryota, Viridiplantae, Streptophyta, Magnoliopsida, Zingiberales, Zingiberaceae. The record is from RefSeq and is a predicted model, not a curated record. The transcript has 4 exons.